Molecule: ribosomal RNA, 1468 nt
Filed under: Eubacteriaceae bacterium BL-152
Lineage: Bacteria; Bacillati; Bacillota; Clostridia; Eubacteriales; Eubacteriaceae
Also listed under: 1 other name
Description: bacterial SSU rRNA
Rfam family: Bacterial small subunit ribosomal RNA
Source: RNAcentral
UGGCGGCGUGCCUAAUACAUGCAAGUCGAGCGAGAAGCAAGAAGAUGAAACUUCGGUAGAUUCAUCUUGCGGACAGCGGCGGACGGGUGAGUAACGCGUAGGCAACCUGCCUCUCACAGAGGGAUAGCCAUUGGAAACGAUGAUUAAAACCUCAUAAUAUCGUAGCAACACAUGUUGUAACGGUCAAAGAUUUAUCGGUGAGAGAUGGGCCUGCGUCUGAUUAACUAGUUGGUGAGGUAACGGCUCACCAAGGUGACGAUCAGUAGCCGACCUGAGAGGGUGAUCGGCCACAUUGGAACUGAGACACGGUCCAAACUUCUACGGAAGGCAGCAGUAGGGAAUCUUGCACAAUGGACGAAAGUCUGAUGCAGCAACGCCGCGUGAAGGAUGACGGCCUUCGGGUUGUAAACUUCUGUUCUUGGGGAAGAAACAAAUGACGGUACCCAAGGAGCAAGCCCCGGCUAACUACGUGCCAGCAGCCGCGGUAAUACGUAGGGGGCAAGCGUUAUCCGGAAUUAUUGGGCGUAAAGAGUGCGUAGGUGGUUACCUAAGCGCAAGGUUUAAUACAGUGGCUCAACUACUGUCUGCCUUGCGAACUGGGCUACUUGAGUGCAGGAGGGGAAAGCGGAAUUCCUAGUGUAGCGGUGAAAUGCGUAGAUAUUAGGAGGAACACCGGCGGCGAAGGCGGCUUUCUGGACUGUAACUGACACUGAGGCACGAAAGCGUGGGGAGCAAACAGGAUUAGAUACCCUGGUAGUCCACGCCGUAAACGAUGAGCACUAGGUGUUGGGGUCGAAUGAUCUCAGUGCCGCAGUUAACGCAAUAAGUGCUCCGCCUGGGGAGUACGCUCGCAAGAGUAAAACUCAAAGGAAUUGACGGGGACCCGCACAAGCAGCGGAGCAUGUGGUUUAAUUCGAAGCAACGCGAAGAACCUUACCAGGACUUGACAUCCUACUGACAGGAUCUUAACCGAUCCCUUCUUCGGACAGUAGAGACAGGUGGUGCAUGGUUGUCGUCAGCUCGUGUCGUGAGAUGUUGGGUUAAGUCCCGCAACGAGCGCAACCCUUGUCGUCAGUUACUAACAUUCAGUUGAGGACUCUGACGAGACUGCCGAGGUCAACUCGGAGGAAGGUGGGGACGACGUCAAAUCAUCAUGCCCCUUAUGUUCUGGGCUACACACGUGCUACAAUGGUCGGUACAGAGAGAUGCAAUACCGUGAGGUGGAGCAAAACACUAAAACCGAUCCCAGUUCGGAUUGCAGGCUGAAACUCGCCUGCAUGAAGUUGGAGUUGCUAGUAAUCGCAGAUCAGAAUGCUGCGGUGAAUGCGUUCCCGGGUCUUGUACACACCGCCCGUCACACCAUGGAAGUUGGGGGUGCCCAAAGUUGGACAUUUAAUAGUUUGCCUAAGGCAAAACCAAUGACUGGGGUGAAGUCGUAACAAGGUAGCCGUAUCAGAAGGUGCGCUGA